GGCGAAGCUUGACAGGGUUACUCUGAGUGAUUUCCGUUAAGGAGAUCUUUUGGCACCUCUAAAAAUGGUGCAGAAUAAGGGGUGGGCAAGUCUGGUGUCAGCCGCCGCGGUAAUACCAGCACCCCGAGUGGUCGGGACGUUUAUUGGGCCUAAAGCAUCCGUAGCCGGUUCUACAAGUCUUCCGUUAAAUCCACCUGCUUAACAGAUGGGCUGCGGAAGAUACUAUAGAGCUAGGAGGCGGGAGAGGCAAGCGGUACUCGAUGGGUAGGGGUAAAAUCCGUUGAUCCAUUGAAGACCACCAGUGGCGAAGGCGGCUUGCCAGAACGCGCUCGACGGUGAGGGAUGAAAGCUGGGGGAGCAAACCGGAUUAGAUACCCGGGUAGUCCCAGCUGUAAACGAUGCAGACUCGGUGAUGAGUUGGCUUAUUGCUAACUCAGUGCCGCAGGGAAGCCGUUAAGUUUGCCGCCUGGGGAGUACGGUCGCAAGACUGAAACUUAAAGGAAUUGGCGGGGGAGCACCACAAGGGGUGAAGCCUGCGGUUCAAUUGGAGUCAACGCCGGAAAUCUUACCGGGGGCGACAGCAGAGUGAAGGUCAAGCUGAAGACUUUACCAGACAAGCUGAGAGGAGGUGCAUGGCCGUCGCCAGCUCGUGCCGUGAGGUGUCCUGUUAAGUCAGGUAACGAGCGAGAUCCCUGCUUCUAGUUGCUACCAUUAUUCUCAGGAGUAGUGGAGCUAAUUAGAGGGACCGCCGUCGCUGAGACGGAGGAAGGUGGGGGCUACGGCAGGUCAGUAUGCCCCGAAACCCUCGGGCCACACGCGGGCUGCAAUGGUAAGGACAAUGAGUUUCGAUUCCGAAAGGAGGAGGCAAUCUCUAAACCUUACCACAGUUAUGAUUGAGGGCUGAAACUCGCCCUCAUGAAUAUGGGAUCCCUGUACC
This 937-nucleotide ribosomal RNA is filed under the name uncultured crenarchaeote. RNAcentral's name for it is "bacterial SSU rRNA". It matches the Rfam family "Archaeal small subunit ribosomal RNA", at positions 358 to 1298 of the family's 1478-position model. Lineage: Archaea; Thermoproteati; Thermoproteota. The record is from RNAcentral.